GGAAUAUUGCACAAUGGGCGAAAGCCUGAUGCAGCAACGCCGCGUGAGUGAUCAAGGCCUUCGGGUCGUAAAACUCUGUCCUCAAGGAAGAUAAUGACGGUACUUGAGGAGGAAGCCCCGGCUAACUACGUGCCAGCAGCCGCGGUAAUACGUAGGGGGCUAGCGUUAUCCGGAUUUACUGGGCGUAAAGGGUGCGUAGGCGGUCUUUCAAGUCAGGAGUGAAAGGCUACGGCUCAACCGUAGUAAGCUCUUGAAACUGGGAGACUUGAGUGCAGGAGAGGAGAGUGGAAUUCCUAGUGUAGCGGUGAAAUGCGUAGAUAUUAGGAGGAACAUCGGUGGCGAAGGCGGCUUACUGGACUAUAACAGACACUGAGGCUCGAAAGCGUGGGGAGCGAACA
RNAcentral lists this ribosomal RNA (398 nucleotides) under uncultured bacterium. RNAcentral describes it as "bacterial SSU rRNA". It matches the Rfam family "Bacterial small subunit ribosomal RNA", at positions 358 to 774 of the family's 1533-position model. The record is from RNAcentral.